UGUCAGUUAUCUUUGUUCAUACACAUCUGCUAAGAAGUCACAGGGAGAGUUUGAGCUUCAUGAACGAGUUUUAAAGAAAGGUAAAGAGCAACCACUGCAGGACAGAGUCAAAGUAAGACAGUUUAGAGACAACCACAGGAGGAGUAAGCAUCUGAGAAUCUGACAACUACACAUUGCUCAAAAUUAACAUUUCUAUAAGGGCCUGAUUUACUAAGGUUUUCACUGAGAAUGGCAUUGCACAAUAUAAAAUAUUGAUCUGCCCUCAUUUAUGCAGUGAUCCUCUGCAAAACGCACAUGUACUCCAGUUCUUAUAGGGCUUGCUUUACUGAUUUGCUUUUUUUCAAAAACAGGUUUUUUGACCGUGUGCAGUCACUCGAUCACCAGGGCUCUAAAUUAUACUUUCCGAAUGUGAUACAACAGAUUGAGCCAGCACGUAAUUGUAACCCCUUCGGUGCCGCGCACGCAAGUCUUCAUUCAUGAACUGAGGGUGUUAAAAGUGCUGAUUCAUCCACUAAAUCAUCAGAAAUUAAGGAAACUUUACAUGCCGCUAGAUAUUGAUAUCUAAGGGUGGGAUAUGCGUGUAAGGAAAAGUUUGUGUGCUCCCGCGUGUACGCACUGGUGCGAAUCCGCAUUCGUGUAUAAAACCAGGCGUUGAAGUUCUGCAGUGUGGGACAAAGAGAGGGGGACAUUUAGACAAUUUCAAUUUUGCCCUCACUUUGGAUGUGUGGAUGGACAUGCAUGAGGAUGCACAAAUCGGAUCCUUAGGUGAGAAGAUAUCACAUCUCAAAUAUGCAGUUAUUUUCUAGAUGGGCACAAUCAGCAUAAUCACAUAUUAAUCAUAAUUAAUAAUUAAUAAUUUUAUAUAAUAAUAUAUAAUUUAAUUUAAUUUAUAUUAAUAAUCACAUAGUCAUAUUUUGGUUAGAGGUGGAUAACCACUUGUCAAUGAUUACCGGUGUGUUUGUGAUCCUGUCUCCUCCUCACCACAUAGGAAUCAGACUAAGUAAAAACUGUCUACAGUCUUAGCAGAUUGCUAAGCAUAAGAUAAACUAACAAGUUAAAUUUUUUGCCCCAAUAUUUAAACACAAGGAUAAAAUAACACCCUAUAUUUUAUAUUCAUUCAUGUAAACAUACUAAAUGGACAUCCCAUGAUGCAUUGCACAUUUAUAAAAUACAUCCUCAGUGUGCAGAGUAAGUAGAUCAGCUUGCAAAUUUUGUUUUGUUUGUUUGUUUUUGUGAAGGUGUUUUGACAUUUAUGCACAUUUUUGAACAUGCAAACCUGUACUUAAUUAGGCCCUGCAUCUGGCUCUGCUGGUUUUCAUCCUGUCCCUAUCAUCUGCCUCCUGCAUGUAUCCUGAGACUAGACUCGCCGGCCAAUCACAAGAAAGGUCUUGUAUCUUGGGGUUUACAUUGAAGCUGAUUUCUGCUGUGUUGGCUAUAAAAAGGUUAAUAAAAUGGUUGGAGUACAAAAUUGUCUCAACAAAUGACCUUUUUCUCUGUCAGUACUUAAUUUGAUAUGUGAUGAGACAGUGUUGUAGUUGUAGAAUAUACAGUAUAUAUGCUAUAUCAUCUUCUUGUGUGUUUGGCAGUACACCCCAGAGCUCAACCUAAAAUAUGAGGCCAAAGCACAAAGUCAGUGUCACGAAACAUAUCACACCAUUGUGGAACAAAUGAAGGGAAGCCUGGAAAAAUGUAUAUCUUCAUAUAAUUACUUUUUAGGUUAAUUCUUACAGCUCUUCCUAAAUUAUUAAUCCCUGUGUAAUAUCCUCCUCAGCAGCAGAGAUUUAUGUUUGUAUUUGUAUUGUUUCUGAACCAAAAAUACUAAUUACUUCUGUUCAUUUUUAAUCUGCUCUAGAGGCAGGGGAGGAGUUUUCAUUUUUCUGGGACACACGUACACACAAAUAAAAAAAAUUAAAAAAAGGCAGUGAGACACACAAAACAUGUAGGGCAUACUCUCACAAUCAUCUCCGCCUUUCACUGAAAGAGACACCACGUGUUUACCUUAUGCAGGAAUUUUUAAUUUCCCUUUCAUAAGCCAGUCGUCAGUGACGGCUGAAAUAAAUGAAUUUAUGGCCCCCUCAUUUAAACACAAGGACACAGAGUCAUUGAGUGAGCCAUGUGUAAACACAAAACCUACUUCUUCUGAGGUUUGAGAAUUUAAGUCUAUCUAUCUAUCUAUCUAUCUAUCUAUCUAUCUAUCUAUCUAUCUAUCUAUCUAUCUAUCUAUCCAUCCAUCCAUCCAUCCAUCCAUCCAUCCAUCCAUCCAUCCAUCCAUCUUUUUUAUUCAUAUCCUGUUGUCUCCUUCUGUCACUCAUACACUCACAAAUCACAGAUACAUUUGUGCCUGCAGGCUUGUGCUGGAGUGGUUGUGUGUUUCAGAAAGUAAACUCAUGCGGUCCCAUAUGUAAUCACUCAAUGCAUGUACAGGAGUGUGUCACAUAGACAAAUAACUACAUUACCACCUAGAGAGGAGGGAGGGGAGCAGUUAGACGGAGCAACUCUGAUCAAGGAGCAAGCAGCAGUUUUAUAUGUGCACUAAUGUUUUCAUCUGCACAGUGUGUAAGCAGAGGACAGCAAGUAAAUAUGUUUUUCAGCCCAAGGUACAGUAGGUGUAAACACACCUUUAGUUUUAAGUUCAAACAAGUCCCACUACAGGGAGAAGAAUCAGCAUAAUGAGUUAAACAGAAACCUGGAAACUGAGGAGAGGAUCUGGAUGAUAAUACUGUCCUAACAAGCGUCACUGUAUUACAGGCUUAAAUCACUGCUGCUUCUGGAAGGUUCUUCAGAAAUUCUUGUGUGGUGAUGUCUCUUUGUAAGCUUUACAUACACCAGCUGCAACAUGAGUCAUGGGCGUGGUAGUGGGGGGAAAAGUGAACCUGACUACCCAGGGCCUGAAUAGGGAGUGGGGCCCAUGAAAAUCAACAGCGACCGACGUCAGUGAGCCCAGAUUGAAUGACCUGGGGGUUAAACAUCAUGCUGACCAAAAAGCAUAAAUCGUGGUAUAAAAGGAGAAAGAGAGGAAAGAAAAAGAAAGAAGGCAGAAUGAGGGGAGGCAGCUGUUGACUGCUUUCUUUCCCAAAGGUGAACCCAGUUUGCUUGUUCUGCAAAGUCUAAUUAAAGUUAAUGUAGUCCACUCCAGACAGCUGCUGCUGAUGUUUGUAGGCUCACGUGAAGUUUUCACCUUGGCUAGUUACUAACCAGACUGCUUGCUGCUGUAAGUAUAAAGACAAUUAUGGGCCAGCUAACAUUAGUUGUCAACAUUAACCAGUUUCAGAAACAAAGAGUGACGCUGAAGCAGCCCCAGCUAAAGUGCACACUCGUAAUAUAUUCAUUGAGCAAUUAAGCAGUUUAUCAUUUUUGUCUGGUAAAAGGCCUUAACAUUGUAGGACAGUGAUGUGCUUAAAAGCUAUUGUCAAUGCAAAAUAAAUUCAUGAGAGAGAGAGAGAGAGAGAGAGAGAGAGAGAGAGAGAGAGAGAGAGAGCGAGAGAGAGAGAGAGAGAGGUGGAUGGUGAGAACAUAGAAAAACAAUUAGCUAUUUGAACCACUCAUCAAUAUAAUCUGAUCUGAUUGAAUCUUAAAACCCUAUUCAUGCUUUUUUUUUUUUUUUUGCUCAUUUGCUCCAUGCGCUGGCACGGAUAGGGACCAACUGGCACUGACAGUGUACAGGGCCCAGAAUUUGGUGCUACGCCCCUGACAGUAGAGUUUUUCAUCUCAAGAGCGAAGGCAUGUUACUAGAGUUUAUGGCAGACUUAUCCUCAAUUCUCUCUCUACUGCCUCUUUGAGGGAUUUCAUGACUCUCCCUUUUUUACUGCUCUGGUGAUGCCGAGCAGUGUUAAAAUGAGGGAUUGGGAUCAUGUCUCGACAUUUUAUUUACUUUUUCCUAAUUCUUGUUUGACUGAUUUUUCAAUAACAGGGCUUCAUUUAAAGUCUGGUUGUGUUAACCUCAGCUGCUUUGGGUGUAGAGGAGGAUGACAGCUCUGCAACAGCUGCUGCAGUUGAGGAAGUUGUUUUAAGUCACAAAAAGUCAAAGUUUCUGUGGGUACUUUGUCUUGAUUUGAUGCACAGUGCUGAUGUGUCUGACUGCCAUAAACUCCAUAUCACUUCAUCCCUUUAGCUUUAGAAUCAUGUAGCAUCACUGUGGACCUCCUCACAUUUUCAUCUAUCAUCACAACUGACCACCAGAGUAGUGAUGGGAAUUAUGACUCUUUUUAGUGAGACAGAUCAUUCGGCUCAGCUCACCAAGAAGAGCGAAACCACCAACAGAGCCUGAGUGCUUAUUCGGCUCCAAAACGGCUCUUCAUUUUACCACUUUUACGUUUUCUGAUUCAGCCAAAUUUAGCGUUGUUUGUCUUAUGAUAUGUAUGUAUGUGUACACAUACCUCUUAAAUAAUUCAAUACAUUCUUUGUACUGAAGUAUUCACAAGUAAAAAUUACAUUUCCUAAUGUAGCCAUCCUGAGCGUGUCCGUCUAAUGAACACAAGCACAUACGUCAAAGAGCCGGCUCUUUGACGUGAACUGUCUGAACCUCGUUCACAACUGACACAACUCAACAUCAGAUGCCUAUCAAUUUGUGCACACCACUGAUUUCAUUAACAUGAUUUUGCUAAACUUUAAGUACAAUUUUACAUCCUGGAACCCUUAGACCUGAUAGCAGACCUGAUAAGAUCAAAACAUUCUUGAUACUUUGUUUUUUUGCUUCAUCUGAUAUUUAAUUGACCUGGUUAUUGAUCCCCAUCCCAAAUGAAGACCUUGCAAGUACAGCUUGCAUUAAAACUAGUGCUGCAACUAACGAUUAUUUUUGUUGUCGACUAAUCUAUCGAUUGUUUUUUCGAUUAAUCACGACUAUCUUCUUUAUUUAGAAAAACCCAUUUUAGACUUCUGUUUAACGUAACUUACUUAAACCUUAAAUCCUGUUGUACUCUGAUAGCAUGUUUUUGAACAAAUAUAUAAAAAAUAAUGACAUAAAACAUUUACCUGCAAUAUAGUUGAUAUAUUUUUCAAUGUAAAAUACCACUUUGACUACAACAAAAAUAAUUAAAUUGUACAAACUUAAAGUGCAAGGUAGUAAACAAAAACUCUUUAUCAAGAAGUAUAUCAAAAAAAGCUGCAGGUAGCCUGCCUUGCAGGUUGAGGAGGUAAUUAGGUUUAAACCAACCAAGGAGUUGCUUUUACUUAAAGCAAAUAAGCCCAUAAAGGUAAAAUACAUAAAUAAAACAAAAGAUCAAUUUUGUCAUUUUUUUUUUUUUCUUGUAAAGUCCCAACUGUCAAC
Molecule: non-coding RNA, 5266 nt
Organism: Xyrichtys novacula (pearly razorfish)
Lineage: Eukaryota; Metazoa; Chordata; Actinopteri; Labriformes; Labridae
Source: the annotation of a GenBank genome assembly